Molecule: small nuclear RNA, 21 nt
Filed under: Arabidopsis thaliana (thale cress)
Lineage: Eukaryota; Viridiplantae; Streptophyta; Magnoliopsida; Brassicales; Brassicaceae
Description: snRNA_03372
Source: RNAcentral
CUGCAGAAUUUCGAUGGCAAU